Molecule: long non-coding RNA, 1195 nt
Organism: Syzygium oleosum
Lineage: Eukaryota; Viridiplantae; Streptophyta; Magnoliopsida; Myrtales; Myrtaceae
Exons: 2
Source: RefSeq, a predicted model, not a curated record
CCAAUUGAAUAUGACGAGGAAUGUUUCACGUUCCAACUACUACUCUGCAUAUCAUGUACCAAAUGGUAAGCAGAUCCUACAGAAAAAGCACCACUCUUCUCAAAAGGCCACACAACUCGUAUCUUCAUAGAAAAAAAUCUUCUUGAGGGAACUCUCAUUAUCAUCUCCUUGUCUUCAUCCUCCACCAAGCUACUCGCUAAAGUCAAAUCCCACCAUUGCAAAUCAGGAUCAAUUAACUCGGGAACUUUUCAUAUUUUCAUUGACAUCUGCCCCGCAAUUGAGCUUCACAAAGUUGCUACCGUGGGCUAGAAACCACAUGUCAUUCCAAACAUGUAUAUCCCUUCCAUUCCCCACCGGCCACAACAUGCUUUUUUCAACCACUUCCCUCCCAAUCAAUAUGCUACUAGAAACCCAAGAAUCUCUACCUCCCAUUUUAGCUUUCAGGAAACUACGUUGAUGGUAGUAAAUACCCUUCAACAAUUGAGCCUUGUAUGCCUGAGGAUUUUGUAGCUAUCUCCAAGCAAAUUUAGCUAGCAAAGCAUCAUCAAAAGCUUCAAGCAAAUUGCCACCCUCCACCAUGGGCGAAGCACUGCUUGUUUAAUAGUAAUUCUUUCAGAGAUGUACUGUUAGUUCAACCACCAAAAUCUCCUUGGCUGGAAGAAAAAGGGAAUAGCAAAGUGUCUUUUUCUGAUAUUUUCUGCUGCAGAUGUUUUAUUAAGUAAACUAAUCUGCAAUUAGCGGAAGCACCUGUCUGUUAGGUGGAUUCGUGUGCAGCCUGGUUUGAUUUUCCUGUUAUCGCUUGCACUAGUUAUCACCAGCCAUGGGCUCCAAGCCUCCAAAUGUACCGGUUAUUCUUCUCAAUCUGGAAUUCAUUGACAUGUUUUACGGCACUCCACGACUACCACUGCUUUAGCUGAAAAGUGAAUAUUCAGUAGUUGGAUUGCAGUACUUUCCUGUCCAGGAAAGGUAGUCAUAAGGAUGUGAAAGUUGGCAUUAACUGGCUUUUCAAAGCAUAUUACGAAAUCGAAUGCUCAUGGCAUAUUGAUGCGUGGCAUGUAAAGGACUUUGAUAAAUUGGCGAUUUUGACUGGGAAUUAGGAUAAAUCAUUUCUCAAUUUCCUGAUUCUUAAACUAAAUGUUAUCAGUGCUCUACAUUAUUCUGCUUGUUCGUGUAUAAAAGCAAACCGAAGGUUUAA